This 403-nucleotide ribosomal RNA is filed under the name uncultured bacterium. RNAcentral describes it as "bacterial SSU rRNA". It matches the Rfam family "Bacterial small subunit ribosomal RNA", at positions 355 to 775 of the family's 1533-position model. The record is from RNAcentral.
UAGGGAAUAUUAGUAAUGGGCGAAAGCCUGAACUAGCAACGCCGCGUGUGCGAAGAAGGCCUUCGGGUUGUAAAGCACUUUUUGAGGGGAUGAGGAAGGACGGUACUCUCAGAAUAAGUCUCGGCUACUUACGUGCCAGCAGCCGCGGUAACCCGUAGGAGGCGAACGUUAUCCGGAUUUACUGGGCGUAAAGCGCGUGUAGGUGGUUUGGUAAGUAGGGCGUGAAAGCUCCUGGCUCAACUGGGAGAGGCCGUUCUAAACUGCCGAACUAGAGGAUGGUAGAGGGAGGUGGAAUUCCGGGUGUAGCGGUGGAAUGCGCAGAUAUCCGGAGGAACACCAGUGGCGAAAGCGGCCUCCUGGACCAUUCCUGACACUCAGACGCGAAAGCUAGGGUAGCAAACGG